This is an RNA transcript of Macrosteles quadrilineatus (aster leafhopper), 876 nucleotides long. It is a transcript of the gene named follicle cell protein 3C-1, with no coding region annotated. The transcript has 6 exons. Lineage: Eukaryota; Metazoa; Arthropoda; Insecta; Hemiptera; Cicadellidae. The record is from RefSeq and is a predicted model, not a curated record.
CGAUAAUAAAUCGAUCACUUGGGUGUGGGAGUAGACCUAAUAAAGUAAAGAUAAGUUUGCCUUUGCCAUUUUAUAUUAGUUAAAAGUUAAAAUUUGGUAUCUCAAGUGUCGAAACUUUGCAAUGUUUAGUAGUGUAGAGAAAAUUAAAAACAAAACUGGAAAGAAUAUUGUCGGACGUUUCAAGUAUUUAAAGCUUCUGAAAGAAGAGUUUCAAAUAACGAAAAGCCAAGAAGCCAAACAUCAGACUAUUGCUAACUUAGCAAACUUUUCGUAUGAUCCAAUCAACUACGAACACAUCCGUACCUUGGGUAUAAUUGAUUUAUUUUUGGAGCAGUUAUCAGAGGAAGAUCCAACUAUUGUACAGUUUGCGCUGGGAGGAAUCUGCAAUUUAGCUCUGGAUGUUGAAAGUAAAGAACAUAUUGUCAGCAGUGGAGGUGUAACUUUGAUAAGCCAAUGUUUAUAUUCUGAUUGUUUGCAAACUGUUAUAUAUGCAGUCACUAGUCUUAUGUUCCUGAUCAGCAACAAGAGUCGAGCAGUAAUCACAAGUGACAACAUCAUUGUGAAGAUGUUAGAACUGUCUAAACAUGUGGACAAGCGAGUGCAAAACCUUGCUGAGAUAUUCCUGGAAGACUACUGCAGUGGGGAACAAAUCCAUAGAGUACGCAACAGUGUUAGUCUCAUACCAUUACCCUCUGCUUCUGAUACCCAAUCAACAACAUCUCAGCAGUGAUUUCUUGGGGAAUCAAAUACCAUGAUGCGAACAUUCGCUGUUGUGUUUCUUCAAUGUAUUGUUAUAAGUUUAGCAGAGGAGGUAAAGCCAGCUGUGUCGUCGCCUGCUGUACAAACAACACCGUUGAAUCUGACAAGUCUGCUUGC